GGUUGCUUGCAAGGGCGUAUGGUGGAUGCCUUGGCAGACAGUACCGAUGAAGGACGUUUGAGGCUGCGAUAUGCCUCGGGGAGCCGCCAACAGGGCUUUGAUCCGAGGAUUUCCGAAUGGGGGAACCCGCCGGCCGUCAUGGGCCGGCACCGCGUUCGCGCGGGGGGUACGCAGGGAAGUGAAACAUCUCAGUACCUGCAGGAAAGGAUGUUCCGUGAGUAGUGGCGAGCGAAAGCGGAUCAGGCCAAACCGCGCGCGUGUGACAGGCGCCAGCCGUUGCGCGCGUGGUGUUGAGGGAGCGUGUGUCCGGGUCCUGGCGGGCCCGGCCGGAGUGAUAAAACGGCGUGUGAGGCGAACCGGAUUGAAUGCCGGGCCGCAGAGGGUGAUGGCCCCGUAGCCGAACGCGCGUCGUCUCCGGAUCGUGUUUCCCAAGUAGCGCGGGACUCGUGGAAUCCCGUGUGAAUCCGCCCCGACCGUGGGGUAAGCCUAGAUAUACCUGUCUGACCGAUAGCGAACUAGUACCGUGAGGGAAAGGUGAAAAGCACCCCGGGAGGGGAGUGAAACAGUCUCUGAAACCGUGCGCUUACAAACCGUCGGAGCCUUUCGGGGUGACGGCGUGCCUAUCGAAAAAUGAGUCUGCGAGUCAGUGGCACGUGGCGAGCGUAACCCGUGUGGGGUACGCGUAGCGAAGGCGAGUCUCAAAAGGCGUUUGAGUCGCGUGUCCUGGACCCGAAGCGGGAUGAUCUAGCCCUGAGCAGGUUGAAGCGCGGGUAAGACCGCGUGGAGGACCGAACCCACCUGGGUUGAAAACCGGGGGGAUGACUUGGGGCUAGGGGUGAAAGGCCAAUCAAAUUCCGUGAUAGCUGGUUCUCUCCGAAAUGCAUUUAGGUGCAGCGUCGGGGAUUACGUCCGGGGGGUAGAGCUACUGGAUGCUUGAGGGCCCGUAUCGGGUACCGACAGCAGCCAAACUCCGAAUACCCGUGACGCGUAUCCCGGCAGUGAGUCGGCGGGGGAUAAGCUCCGUCGUCGAAAGGGAGACAGCCCAGAUCGUCGUCUAAGGUCCCCAAGCGCGUGCUAAGUGGGAAAGGAUGUGGAGUCGCAUAGACAGCCAGGAGGUUGGCUCAGAAGCAGCCACCCUUGAAAGAGUGCGUAACAGCUCACUGGUCUAGUGGUUCCGCGCCGACAAUGUAGCGGGGCUCAAGCACGCCACCGAAGACGCGGCAGCGUCCGUCUGGACGCUGGGUAGGAGAGCGUCCCCAUCGGGGCGAAGCGGCGGCGCAAGCCUGCCGUGGACCGUUGGGGAGUGAGAAUGCAGACAUGAGUAGCGAGAGGCGGGUGCGAAUCCCGCCCGCUGGAUGACCAAGGGUUCCGGGGCCACGUUCGUCGUCCCCGGGUGAGUCGGGUCCUAAGGCGAGGCCGACAGGCGUAGUCGAAUGGAUGAACGGGCUGAUAUUCCCGUACCGGCAGCGAACCGAAACAACCGAGGCCUGGGGUGCUAACCUCCGGGCCCGUGCCGUCUCCCCUUUCGGGGGGUCGCGGCGCGGGCGCGUUGGGAUCCCCCCUCGUAGUAGGUCAGCGCAGGAGUGACGCAUCAGGGCAGCCGGCCGCGGAGGUGGUUUUCCGUGGUCAAGCGUUCGAGCCCGUCCCGCAGGCAAAUCCGCGGGGCGUCGGGGCGAGGCGUGAUGAUGGGGGCCUUACGGCCCGAAUCCGGUGAUCCGUGGUGCCGAGAAAAGCUUCGGCGUCAGGCGCGUUGCCGCCCGUACCCCAAACCGACACUGGUGGUCAGGUAGAGAAUACCAAAGCGAUCGAGCGAAUCCUGGUCAAGGAACUCGGCAAAUUGCUCCCGUGCCUUCGGCAUAAGGGAGACCCCCUGCGGUGAUGAGCGGCGGGGGGUGGCACAGGCCAGGGGGUAGCGACUGUUUACCAAAAACACAGGAGCGUGCGAAGGCGCAAGCCGCUGUAUACGCUCUGACGCCUGCCCGGUGCCGGAAGGUUAAGAGGAUCCGUCAGCUUCUGCGAAGCGGUGAAUUCAAGCCCCGGUAAACGGCGGUGGUAACUAUAACCAUCCUAAGGUAGCGAAAUUCCUUGUCGGGUAAGUUCCGACCUGCACGAAUGGCGUAACGACUUCCCCACUGUCUCGACCAGGAGCUCGGCGAAAUUGCAGUACGAGUAAAGAUGCUCGUUAAGCGCAGAAGGACGAAAAGACCCCGGGACCUUUACUAUACCUUGGUAUUGGCAUUAGGCGCGGAUUGUGUAGCAUAGGCGGGAGGCUUUGAAACGGUGGCGCCAGCCAUCGCGGAGCCGCAAGGUGAAAUACCGCUCUGUUCUCGUUUGACGUCUAACCUCGACAAGUCAUCCUUGUCAGGGACAGUGCCUGGCGGGUAGUUCAACUGGGGCGGUUGCCUCCCAAAGAGUAACGGAGGCGCUCAAAGGUCCGCUCAGC
Molecule: ribosomal RNA, 2443 nt
Filed under: human gut metagenome
Description: bacterial LSU rRNA
Rfam family: Bacterial large subunit ribosomal RNA
Source: RNAcentral